AUGAACGCUGGCGGCGUGCCUCAUCCCUGCAAGUCGAGCGAACGGACGAGAAGCUUGCUUCUCUGAUGUUAGCGGCGGACGGGUGAGUAACACGUGGAUAACCUACCUAUAAGACUGGGAUAACUUCGGGAAACCGGAGCUAAUACCGGAUAAUAUUUUGAACCGCAUGGUUCAAAAGUGAAAGACGGUCUUGCUGUCACUUAUAGAUGGAUCCGCGCUGCAUUAGCUAGUUGGUAAGGUAACGGCUUACCAAGGCAACGAUGCAUAGCCGACCUGAGAGGGUGAUCGGCCACACUGGAACUGAGACACGGUCCAGACUCCUACGGGAGGCAGCAGUAGGGAAUCUUCCGCAAUGGGCGAAAGCCUGACGGAGCAACGCCGCGUGAGUGAUGAAGGUCUUCGGAUCGUAAAACUCUGUUAUUAGGGAAGAACAUAUGUGUGAGUAACUGUGCACAUCUUGACGGUACCUAAUCAGAAAGCCACGGCUAACUACGUG
Molecule: ribosomal RNA, 496 nt
Filed under: uncultured bacterium
Lineage: Bacteria
Description: partial 16S ribosomal RNA
Rfam family: Bacterial small subunit ribosomal RNA
Source: RNAcentral